UACGAACCUUCCAAACGUUAUUCGGAAUUACUGGGCUUAAAGGGUGCGUAGGCGGCCCGGUAAGUUGGGUGUGAAAUCCCUCGGCUUAACCGAGGAAUUGCGCCCAAAACUGUCGGGCUCGAGGAAGAUAGAGGUGAGCGGAACUUAGGGUGGAGCGGUGAAAUGCGUUGAUAUCCUAAGGAACACCGGUGGCGAAAGCGGCUCACUGGGUCUUUUCUGACGCUGAGGCACGAAAGCUAGGGGAGCGAAGAGG
RNAcentral lists this ribosomal RNA (253 nucleotides) under uncultured bacterium. Its description in RNAcentral is "partial 16S ribosomal RNA". It matches the Rfam family "Bacterial small subunit ribosomal RNA", at positions 524 to 776 of the family's 1533-position model. The record is from RNAcentral.